GGGCGGGUAGCUCAGCCGGUUAGAGCGCGGGGCUCAUAACCCUGUGGUCGCAGGUUCGAAUCCUGCCCCGCCCACCU
Molecule: transfer RNA, 77 nt
Filed under: Chloroflexota bacterium
Lineage: Bacteria; Bacillati; Chloroflexota
Description: Chloroflexi bacterium tRNA-Met
Rfam family: tRNA
About the family: Transfer RNA (tRNA) molecules are approximately 80 nucleotides in length. Their secondary structure includes four short double-helical elements and three loops (D, anti-codon, and T loops).
Source: RNAcentral